Non-coding RNA from Mustela putorius furo (domestic ferret), 126 nucleotides. Lineage: Eukaryota; Metazoa; Chordata; Mammalia; Carnivora; Mustelidae. The record is from Rfam.
AGCUUUGCACAGUGGCAGUAUCGUAGCCAAUGAGGUUUAUCCAAGGCGCAAUUAUUGCUAAUUAAAAACUUUUCCCAAUACCCUGCCAUGACGACUUGAAGAGUGAGUCAAUAGGAAAAAAAAAAA